UACGGAGGGUGCGAGCGUUGUCCGGAAUCAUUGGGCGUAAAGAGCUCGUAGGCGGUUUGUCGCGUCUGCCGUGAAAGUCCGGGGCUCAACUCCGGAUCUGCGGUGGGUACGGGCAGACUAGAGUGAUGUAGGGGAGACUGGAAUUCCUGGUGUAGCGGUGAAAUGCGCAGAUAUCAGGAGGAACACCGACGGCGAAGGCAGGUCUCUGGGCAUUAACUGACGCUGAGGAGCGAAAGCAUGGGGAGCGAACAGG
RNAcentral lists this ribosomal RNA (253 nucleotides) under uncultured bacterium. RNAcentral's name for it is "partial 16S ribosomal RNA". It matches the Rfam family "Bacterial small subunit ribosomal RNA", at positions 524 to 776 of the family's 1533-position model. The record is from RNAcentral.